GCCUGGUUGGCUCAGCGGAAGAGAAUGUGACUCUUGAUCUCAGGGUCCUGGGUUUGACCCCCACACUGGGUG
RNAcentral lists this transfer RNA (72 nucleotides) under Mustela putorius furo (domestic ferret). It matches the Rfam family "tRNA". From Rfam's summary of the family: Transfer RNA (tRNA) molecules are approximately 80 nucleotides in length. Their secondary structure includes four short double-helical elements and three loops (D, anti-codon, and T loops). Lineage: Eukaryota; Metazoa; Chordata; Mammalia; Carnivora; Mustelidae. The record is from Rfam by way of RNAcentral.